Hydra vulgaris (swiftwater hydra) is the source of this 1353-nucleotide non-coding RNA. The record is from RefSeq and is a predicted model, not a curated record. NCBI's taxonomy places the organism in Eukaryota, Metazoa, Cnidaria, Hydrozoa, Anthoathecata, Hydridae.
ACCUUUUCUCUUUAACAUAAACACCUUUUUCCGUAACAGUGUAUGCCGACAAUGUAGAGGCUUUGACAUACUUUUCAAGGCACUCCCCCAGACAAAAUUGCCGUAACUAAUUUGACAGCGAAUCAAAAGCAAUAUAGUUAAAUUAAAGUAUGUCUCAUUAAAAUGCUAUUUAAUUUAUAAAGAAUUCCAAUACUUUUUUGCAAUUUUGUUGUCCAUUGUGCGGAAUGAUGUCAAAAAAUUAGGUGCCCCAAGAAGACCAAACAGUCUUGUCUCAGAGUACCACGGAAGUGCAUUUAACCAGGAAGUUCACGCCUCCUUCCUUAUCGUGACGCGAAAGUAUAUCCAGAGCUCGUUUUGAACCUGGAUCUCCUGCUUAUAAAGCAAGCGCUCUAACUCAUGCGCCACGGCCGCAUGAAAUGUAUUUAUAUAGUUAUAUAUUAUACAUAAAUACAUAAGCAUAAUUUUAUUUAUAUCAUUUACUUAUAUAAAUGGAAUAAUAUGCAGUUAAGCGGCAUAAAAGAAUUUUAUUUUUUUGCUUGUUGUGAUAUUUGCUCAAAGUGGUGACUUUUUAAAUAAAUUUAAGGAAUAUUUUAAUAUACUUUUUAUUUUUUUUUAUUGUCGAUGUCAAAGCAUUUCCUUGUAACAGCAGGCUAUAAGGUAGUCAAUGUAGCAGCACUCUCUUAUAGUUAAAAUAAAUUUCUGGCAUAAUCAACAGUAAGUAAAUUAAUAGACAAUUGUUUUGUGGUAAUUAAGUGGAUCACAUAUAAAUAUCUUGUUUUAAAUUACAAGUUGCAGUUCGAAAACUUGAAAAAGGACCAAGUAAUGCAGGUGUCGAGAGGUCCAUAGAGCGAUGGCUAAUGCAAUACAUAUAUGUAGUAUUUCAUUGAGAGUAUUUUGUGAAACAACAGGAUUAUCUAAUCUUAUCAUAGAGUUAAUGACUUGUGAUGUAUUGGAUAAACAGCGUUAGGUACUUUUUUUAUAUGGCAUCCCAAGAAACUUCAUUGAUAUAGAAAUUGAUAUAAAAAAUAAAAGAAAACAAUUACAAAAAAACUCAGCAUGUGUAUACUACACAGAUGCUGAGUUUUUCGUUGUAGUUACAAAUUUUUUCUUAUUUUACAAUUUCUUCACUUUUUUUAGGGUGACUUGGUUUUAAUUACUAAAUCUAUCAGGUGCAAUCUGACAGACAGAUAUAUAUGGAUAUCGAGAUGUACCAAAUGUUAGAUCGUGCAAGCAUCAAAUUGAAGUUUAACCAUAAACUUACGCUACCAUAUCCGUACGCUAACCAUAAACUUUUAUAUGUAUUGUAUUGCAUUGAAAUAAAAAUAUUUGAUAAUAUUAAACUUAUUGCAAAAA